Molecule: ribosomal RNA, 429 nt
Filed under: uncultured bacterium
Lineage: Bacteria
Description: bacterial SSU rRNA
Rfam family: Bacterial small subunit ribosomal RNA
Source: RNAcentral
UCGGGAAUAUUGCGCAAUGGGCGAAAGCCUGACGCAGCCAUGCCGCGUGUGUGAAGAAGGCCCUAGGGUUGUAAAGCACUUUCAAUUGGGAGGAAAAGCUAAUGGUUAAUAACCAUUAGCCCUGACGUUACCUUUAGAAGAAGCACCGGCUAACUCCGUGCCAGCAGCCGCGGUAAUACGGAGGGUGCAAGCGUUAAUCGGAAUUACUGGGCGUAAAGCGCGCGUAGGCGGUUUUUUAAGUCGGAUGUGAAAGCCCCGGGCUCAACCUGGGAACUGCAUCCGAUACUGGAUCACUAGAAUGCGGGAGAGGGAGGUAGAAUUCCAUGUGUAGCAGUGAAAUGCGUAGAUAUAUGGAGGAAUACCAGUGGCGAAGGCGGCCUCCUGGCUCGACAUUGACGCUGAGGUGCGAAAGCGUGGGGAGCAAACGGG